AGGAGAGAGGAAAAGAGAGAUCUCCAAACAUUCGAAAUCUAAUGAAACAAAUUCUUGUGAGGCUGCGAACCUUUUGGCCGAACAUUUGGAUGGGCUGGUAUUCCCCGAUCAUUUGGAAGACAUAGGAAAGGUGCCUACGGUCGAUAGAGAGUGUUGAAUAGUUUGGAUUCAUUAAAAUAAUCAGAUUACUUAUUUAACAAAAUGAUCAGAUUUGGAUCUAAAUUUUUGAUUUGUUUAACAAACAGGUCAUGUUUUGGUUGACAGAAUUUUAAUGUCUUC
RNAcentral lists this long non-coding RNA (279 nucleotides) under Phoenix dactylifera (date palm). RNAcentral describes it as "long non-coding RNA (PDAC_LNC001550)". The record is from RNAcentral. Lineage: Eukaryota; Viridiplantae; Streptophyta; Magnoliopsida; Arecales; Arecaceae.